This 592-nucleotide small RNA is filed under the name Pan troglodytes (chimpanzee). RNAcentral describes it as "processed transcript". Lineage: Eukaryota; Metazoa; Chordata; Mammalia; Primates; Hominidae. The record is from RNAcentral.
UAAUGCAAUGCUGACUGGGCAGGAUUGAAGUUGGCAUCAGCAGGUCAUGUGCCGAUGAAGCAUUUCUUCAGGAACUGAGUCCCAACCACGCCUUGCCUUUCACAGUCGGAUUGGUGAAUUGUGUCCCAGGAAGUAGGUGCAAGUGGCAUGUGACCACUUGGGACAUGUACUGCUACUAUUAUUCUUUAUUCUGACAUGGAUUUUUGACAGGAAAUAGGCUAGCAUAAACAUACAGCACUGGAUGAAUCUGUUCUUCUGAUUCUGCUUUAGAAGACAUCUCCUUACUAAGACUAAGCUCCAAGAGGCCGAGACUCUUUUCUCAGUGCCUGUACCAAAGUAAGUGUUAAUUGUAUGUACUGAAUGAAUGAAAAGAUAUCAAAUCAAGGCUAAUUUUGGUGUGGAUGAAGACCUUGGAUAUUGACAGGCAGUACUACGAGAUGCUUUACAACACAGCUGACGAGCUCCUGAACCUGGUGGUGGACCAGGGUGUGAAGUACACGGAGCUGGAGUAUAUCCAUGCCCUGACCCUGCUGCACCGCAGCCAGACUGGGGUGGGGGAACUGACCACCCAGAACAUGAGGCUGCAGAGGCU